This 1720-nucleotide long non-coding RNA is filed under the name Zostera marina. RNAcentral's name for it is "long non-coding RNA (ZMAR_LNC000333)". The record is from RNAcentral. Lineage: Eukaryota; Viridiplantae; Streptophyta; Magnoliopsida; Alismatales; Zosteraceae.
GCCAAAGCGACAUAAUAGAUCCGAUUCUGGCCAAAGCGACAGAAUUUAGUUUUAUCGUUCUAGCCAAAGCGAUAGAACUAAUGUUUAUAGUCAACCCUGAUCAAGAGCGACUUUACGUCUGCAACGACAACUAACCCAUCAAUACAAGUAAGAGGAAUGAUGGGUUGAGAUCAUUAAGACCAAAGCGACAAAAUGAUCUUUGAUCUAUCAAGGCCAAAGCGACAAGAUAGAUCUGAUUCUGGCCAAAGCGAUAGAAUCAUACCUGCAAAAAAGAAAACAUCCUGCAAAACAACUAAAUCAGUUUAAAACGCAUAUUUUAUUGAUUUAUUGAACUUACUGCGCGAUUUUACCUUUCGCGAGAUCCUACCUUUGCUCGAAUGAAUCCUUGGUAAAUCUGGCCAAAGCGAUAAAUUUACCGUGCUCAUAUUCGACGACUUCCGGCCGGAGCGACAGAAGUGUCGAGAGAGUUUGUGACACUCCCCCCUGAGUGCGACAAUUUCUGGACAAAACGACAGAAGUGUCAGAGAGGGUUUGUGAUACUCCCCCCCUGAGUGUGACAACUUAUGGCCAAAGCGAUAGAAGUGUCGGAGAGAGCUUGUGAUACUCUCCCUUUAAGUACCUGCAUAAAACGUGACAACUGUUGGAUCGAGAUCCGAGGCUAUAAGGGGGGAUAAUAGCCACUUUUCGAUUUAUACAAGUUAAUAGCGGAAUUACCUGCACACACUUAAGUACACAAAUGGUUGUAUAAUAAUAAUAGUAUAAUAUUAUUAGCAAUACAAUACUAUUAUAUGAUUUUAAGAACCUCUCUAAACUUUAAGACUACUUCGCUUAGGAACCAGUCUUUUACGGGUAGACUCACACCUUAGAGUAUCAAGGGCACUCUUAAGAACCUCUAACUUUUGCGGGUAAGUUAGUACCUUAGAGUAUCAAGGAACUCUUAAAAACCUCUCUAAGCUUUAAGGCUACUUCGCUUAGGAACUAGUCUUUUACGGGUAGACUCACACCUUAGAGUAUCAAGGGCACUCUUAAGAACCUCUAACUUUUACGGGUAAGUUAGUACCUUAGAGUAUCAAGGAACUCUUAAAAACCUCUGAAAUCUUUAAAGGUAGACUCGACCUAAGAGUUUUCCCGGAAACUCUAUAAAACCAAACUAGAGCUUUAUGGUUGAGCUCACAAACCUUCUCUCACACUUUGGUACUAUUGAGACAACCCUUUCAACCAAAGUGGACACACACAAGAGGUGAUUAGAGGAGUGGAAUAUUAAAGCAAAUAACACUUCUUACUUGUAAAGAUGAACAAGAAGAUUAGAAGAAGAAGUUGGAGAGCUUUUGAAGCUUUGGAAAGCUAGGACACUUGAGCACUUGAAAGCUUGGAAGCUUGGAGGCAAAAACGUGUGGGCAAGUGUGGAGUGAAAGCUCUUGAGUUUGCUUGUAGUGUGGUGAGUGAAAACGAGGGGUUUACCCUUCUAUUUAUAGCCUUGGUCACUCAAUGUCCACCCUUGGAUCUUCAAUGGAUGGCUCCUUGAUUUCUCACAUAAAUCCAAGCUUUGUCUUUGAUCUUAUCUUGAAUAGUGCUUUUCUUGGAUAGAGUUUGUUGGAGAAUCUUAUCUUUGUAUAAAUUCAAACUUGAAUAGUGUUUUGUCCCCUUGGAAUAUUAUACCUUGAAUAAAGUGUCAAAAGAUAAUAAUAAUAUUCAAGGUAAAAAUGCAAUUAUUCCAAAU